RNAcentral lists this ribosomal RNA (254 nucleotides) under uncultured bacterium. RNAcentral's name for it is "partial 16S ribosomal RNA". It matches the Rfam family "Bacterial small subunit ribosomal RNA", at positions 524 to 776 of the family's 1533-position model. The record is from RNAcentral.
CACGUAGGGGGCAAGCGUUGUCCGGAUUUAUUGGGCGUAAAGAGCUCGUAGGCUGUUCGAUAAGUCGGGUGUGAAACCUCCAGGCUCAACCUGGAGACGCCACCCGAUACUGUCAUGACUAGAGUCCGGUAGGGGAGCGUGGAAUUCCUGGUGUAGCGGUGAAAUGCGUAGAUAUGUGGAGGAAUACCGGUGGCGAAGGCGGCCUCCUGGCUUAAUACUGACGCUGAGGUGCGAAAGCGUGGGGAUCAAACAGG